RNAcentral lists this ribosomal RNA (354 nucleotides) under uncultured bacterium. RNAcentral describes it as "bacterial SSU rRNA". It matches the Rfam family "Bacterial small subunit ribosomal RNA", at positions 22 to 356 of the family's 1533-position model. The record is from RNAcentral.
GCUCAGGAUGAACGCUGGCGGCGUGCUUAACACAUGCAAGUCGAACGAAGCACUUUAUUUGAUUUCCUUCGGGACUGAUUAUUUUGUGACUGAGUGGCGGACGGGUGAGUAACGCGUGGGUAACCUGCCUUGUACAGGGGGAUAACGGUUGGAAACGGCUGCUAAUACCGCAUAAGCGCACAGCAUCGCAUGAUGCAGUGUGAAAAACUCCGGUGGUAUAAGAUGGACCCGCGUUGGAUUAGCUAGUUGGUGAGGUAACGGCCCACCAAGGCGACGAUCCAUAGCCGACCUGAGAGGGUGACCGGCCACAUUGGGACUGAGACACGGCCCAAACUCCUACGGGAGGCAGCAGUA